GGAUGUGAGGGCGAUCUGGCUGUGACAUCUGUCACCCCAUUGAUCAUCAGGGUUGAUUCGGCUGAUCUGGCUGGCUAGACGGGUGUCCCCUUCCUCCCUCACCGCUCCAUGUGCGUCCCUCCUGAAGCUGCGCGCUCAGUCGGUCGAGGAGGACGACCUUCCCCGAUAAAGGAGAGGACCGUUCUUCGGUCAACGGUAUACGAGUAGCUGCGCUCCCCUGCUAGAACCUCCAAACAAGCUCUCAAGAAAUUAAAAAUAGAGCCUCCCUAUGACUCUGCAAUUGCACUACUGGGUAUUUACCCCAAAGAU
Molecule: small nuclear RNA, 309 nt
Filed under: Neogale vison (American mink)
Lineage: Eukaryota; Metazoa; Chordata; Mammalia; Carnivora; Mustelidae
Description: Neovison vison (American mink) 7SK RNA (ENSNVIG00000016744.1)
Rfam family: 7SK RNA
About the family: 7SK was discovered as an abundant small nuclear RNA in the mid-70s but a possible function has only recently been suggested.
Source: RNAcentral